GCACCAUUCUCUUGAUUCAAGAGUCUUUCUCUCCUUAUCCCCCGAGCAUUUCGGUCCCUCGUGAUUCGACUUCUCUUUCUGUAGUUUUAGUAUAGUAAGGUGAGCGCUGAAGCGCUGCACGAAUCUUUCUUAGAAAGAUUCAGCGACGAAGUUCUGCCCCUGCAGAGCCCGACUCCUAGCUAAAAUCCCCUUGAAAGUUUCGUCAAAGGAAAUUAUUUUAAAGUAAACGAAGCGCUGUCCGAGUACCGAGUCACCACCUUCUCAGGUGUUGAUAUGAAGUCACAAUACACUGAGAGAUUUAAAGAGAUGUAGAUCACUAGUGUAAAUAAUUGUAAGUUCUGUUUAUGCUUAUGUUUCUGUAUUAACGAUGACAUCCCAAA
Molecule: long non-coding RNA, 380 nt
Organism: Lactuca sativa (garden lettuce)
Lineage: Eukaryota; Viridiplantae; Streptophyta; Magnoliopsida; Asterales; Asteraceae
Source: RefSeq, a predicted model, not a curated record